UACCAGCACCCCGAGUGGGCGGGACGAUUAUUGGGCCUAAAGCAUCCGUAGCCGGUUCUGCAAGUCCCCCGUUAAAUCCAGCUGCUCAACAGAUGGGCCGCGGAGGAUACUACAGAGCUAGGAGGCAGGAGAGGCAAGCGGUACUCAGUGGGUAGGGGUAAAAUCCGUUGAUCCAUUGAAGACCACCAGUGGCGAAGGCGGCUUGCCAGAAUGCGCUCGACGGUGAGGGAUGAAAGCUGGGGGAGCAAACCGG
Molecule: ribosomal RNA, 253 nt
Filed under: uncultured bacterium
Lineage: Bacteria
Description: partial 16S ribosomal RNA
Rfam family: Archaeal small subunit ribosomal RNA
Source: RNAcentral